This 500-nucleotide ribosomal RNA is filed under the name uncultured bacterium. Its description in RNAcentral is "bacterial SSU rRNA". It matches the Rfam family "Bacterial small subunit ribosomal RNA", at positions 28 to 526 of the family's 1533-position model. The record is from RNAcentral.
GACGAACGCUAGCGGCGUGCCUAAGGUAUGCAAGUCGAACGGGUCCGGUUCCUUCGGGAGCCGGGCUAGUGGCGAACGGUCGAGGAACACGUAGGCAACCUGCCUCCAGGUGGGGGAUAACAGCUCGAAAGGGCUGCUAAUACCGCAUGUGGCGAGGAGAGGCAUCUCUCUUCUGCUAAAGGUUUACUGCCUGGAGAUGGGUCUGCGGCCUAUCAGGUAGUUGGUGGGGUAACGGCCUACCAAGCCGACGACGGGUAGCGGGUCUGAGAGGAUGAUCCGCCGGACGGGGACUGAGACACGGCCCCGACUCCUUCGGGAGGCAGCAAUGAGGAAUAUUGCGCAAUGGGGGAAACCCUGACGCAGCGACGCCGCGUGGGUGAGGAAGUCCUUCGGGAUGUAAAGCCCUUUUCUCGGAGACGAACCCCCGGGUGUUGAGCCCGGGCUGACGGUAUCCGAGGAAGAAGCCCCGGCUAACUACGUGCCAGCAGCCGCGGUAAUAC